This 815-nucleotide ribosomal RNA is filed under the name uncultured bacterium. RNAcentral's name for it is "bacterial SSU rRNA". It matches the Rfam family "Bacterial small subunit ribosomal RNA", at positions 545 to 1351 of the family's 1533-position model. The record is from RNAcentral.
ACGGAGCCACUGGGUGUAAAGGGCGUGUAAGCGGUUCUGCAAGUCAGAUGUGAAAUUUUCGGGCUUAACCCGGAAGCUGCAUCUGAAACUGCAGAACUUGAGUACUGGAGAGGAUAGUGGAAUUCCUAUUGUAGCGGUAAAAUGCGUAGAUAUUAGGAGGAACACCAGUGGCGAAGGCGACUAUCUGGACAGUAACUGACGCUGAGGCGCGAAAGCGUGGGGAGCAAACAGGAUUAGAUACUCUGGGAGUCCACGCCGUAAACGAUGAAUACUAGGUGUAGGGGGUAUCGACUCCCGCUGUGCCGCAGCUAACGCAGUAAGUAUUCCACCUGGGGAGUACGGCCGCAAGGUUGAAACUCAAAGGAAUUGACGGGGGCCCGCACAAGCAGUGGAUUAUGUGGUUUAAUUCGAAGCAACGCGAAGAACCUUACCAGGGACUUGACAUCCUCUGACCGCCAUAGAGAUAUGGUUUCCCUUCGGGGCAGAGAGACAGGUGGUGCAUGGUUGUCGUCAGCUCGUGUCGUGAGAUGUUGUGGUUACUCCCAACAACGAGCGCAACCCCUAGUGUCUGGUGCCAUCACUCAGUUGGGCACUCUGGAGAGACUGCCGGUGACUACCCGGAGGGAGUGGUAGUGAUGACGUCAUAUCAUCAUGCCCCGUUGAUGGACCUGGAUAAACACACAUACUACAAUGCCUGUUAACAGAGGGGAAACAAGACAGGGAUGUGGAAGCUAUCCCCCACAAACGGUCUCAGCUGCGGAUGGUAGGCUGCAGCCGACAUACAGUGAGCUCGGAUGGUGAGUUAUCGCGAUCAA